This 463-nucleotide ribosomal RNA is filed under the name uncultured bacterium. RNAcentral's name for it is "partial 16S ribosomal RNA". It matches the Rfam family "Bacterial small subunit ribosomal RNA", at positions 28 to 507 of the family's 1533-position model. The record is from RNAcentral.
GACGAACGCUGGCGGCGUGCUUAACACAUGCAAGUCGAACGGAAAGGCCUUUUCGGAGGUACUCGAGUGGCGAACGGGUGAGUAACACGUGGGUGAUCUGCCCUGCACUCUGGGAUAAGCCUGGGAAACUGGGUCUAAUACCGGAUAGGACCGCACUUUAGUGUGUGUGGUGGAAAGUUUUUUCGGUGUAGGAUGUGCCCGCGGCCUAUCAGCUUGUUGGUGGGGUAAUGGCCUACCAAGGCGGCGACGGGUAGCCGGACUGAGAGGUUGGUCGGCCACAUUGGGACUGAGAUACGGCCCAGACUCCUACGGGAGGCAGCAGUGGGGAAUAUUGCACAAUGGGCGCAAGCCUGAUGCAGCGACGCCGCGGGGGGGAUGACGGCCUUCGGGUUGUAAACUCCUUUCGCCAGGGACGAAGCGUUUUGUGACGGUACCUGGAGAAGAAGCACCGGCUAACUACGUG